AAAAAAAAAAUAUGGAGAUCACAACUUUCAAAUUUUAGUUGUAUCAUCACUUAGAGUAAUUAGAAGUCAUUGAUUUAUCACAAUAGUUUGCAUGUGAGUAAAACACCCAAUAACAAUAAUAUCAGUUCUGACUUGUGGGUCUUUAGGAUACUGAACUCUAGAGCCAUAAGUUUAAUUAACCACCAGCCUGUUGCUUUCAAAUUUCUUUCUUACUGUACUGUCUUGUUCUGUAAGGAGAAUUUUUUUUUUUUUUAAACUUCUCUGGGCCUGAAUUUUCUCAAUUAUUGAACAAAAGAUAAUGAACAACACUGCAGAAAUAUUUAGUGAUGGGAAAAAAUUGGUAAAAUACUGGGCAUUAUAAAGAAUCUGGAAAGAUUUUUUUUAAGCAGUAAAACAAGACAAUUGCAAAUUGUAUGGGUAAUUAUAUGUUUGAGUACAGCAUGAAGCUUCACUAUUAGAAUAUUGUUUUUGCUUGUGCUAAUAGGUUGUAUUGCAUCUUUUUUGUUGUUUUUUGUUUGUUUGUUUUUGUCUCUGGGCUCUGAAGAUUGAAGUGUACUAUUAAUUGCCAAGAAGGACGUAAUAGAGUAAGCUGAACAGCACGAGGACAGAAUGAUUGGCCCAAGAUCACAUAGUGGACAUCUCACGGACCCAGGCUGGUGUUUCUGUGAUCACACAAUCUGCUUUACCUAAAUUGUGCUUCUUAGGUGUAGAAGUGUAUUUAACUGCAGAUUUCCUUGUCUGCUGGUUGUAUUCACUACAUUGCUCUAAAAUGAGUUCAAAAAGAGUGGAAUAAUAAUUGUUGUGGUUAUUGGUUAGGUUAGGAUGGGGAUAUCAGAGAUGUAAUUUUAAGAUUGUAGCAAGAUUGUACAAAGACAAUAUGCUAAACAACUAAGACAACAGCUGUGUUUUACAUAUCCUGUGUUAGGAUGAACUCAGAUUAAUAUGAGCCUCAUCUUAGUUAAGGUACUCAAGUGGAGAAGGAAAGAAAGGCAGUUGUAAUUUGGUCAUCAAGUUUUAAGCUCUUGGGUAUUUGGGGAUUAUCAGGCAUAGUGUAGGUUUUACACUGUAUAAUUUCCUUAAAGAGGAGUCUACUUAUAAUCCUGUAUAUUAGUUUUUAAAUAGUGAUUGUCCCCAAAUUGUGUAAAUACGCAGGUUAUAGCUAUGUAAAAAUUAUGUUUGUGGAUAAAGAUUUAAAGAAUCCACAGAGAAGAUGUUAGGGUCGUGGAUUUGUGGGUAAAUUUAAUAUUUCCCUUUAUGUGGUAAUAUUGUUUUUAUAAUAAAUAAAAAUAGAGAAAAAACGAUUUCUCCUUUAUUGUUCAUCUUGUAAAGAUUUGCCACGAUCUCAGUUUCAGAAAGCCUUGUUUCAUAUCGAUGAGGUACAUUGUAAACAAUCGAAAUUCAAGAAGAUUUGGUUUGGUUUGUUUACUUCAAAUGUGUCCGUUAAAUUAGAAAUCAAGCUUAAGCUGGCAGAAGUACAGGGUCAUAUUUUCAAACUUAACUAUGAAUUUUAAUUGAAAAUAAAUGAUUGUCCAAAUCCCAGCAGGCUGUUUGCUGUAGUAUUUAGUGCACUGUCAAUGUUAACUAAAUAUCGAUGAAAAAGUGUUUAAUAAAUGUAGCUCUCCUCA
Leptonychotes weddellii (Weddell seal) is the source of this 1625-nucleotide non-coding RNA. NCBI's taxonomy places the organism in Eukaryota, Metazoa, Chordata, Mammalia, Carnivora, Phocidae. The record is from RefSeq and is a predicted model, not a curated record.